Molecule: unclassified non-coding RNA, 240 nt
Filed under: soil metagenome
Description: partial contains 5.8S ribosomal RNA, internal transcribed spacer 2, and large subunit ribosomal RNA
Source: RNAcentral
AACCUUAUGGACCUGCGGGCGUAUACCUGCGGAGGGAUCAUUACCGAGUUAGGGUGUUGCCUCUGGCACGCCCGACCUCCCAACCCUUUGUUUACACGAUACCUGUUUGUUGCUUCGGCGAGCCGGCCACCUCUUCACUGAGGACCGCCUGGUCUCUCAGGACCGGGAGAGCGUUCGCCGACGGCCCAACCAAAAUCAAAAUUCUUGAAACCAAAACAUGUCGUCUGAAACAUAUCUUUG